UGAAAGAGAAGAAGGAAUCACAGGAGA
This 27-nucleotide non-coding RNA is filed under the name Rattus norvegicus (Norway rat). The record is from RNAcentral. Lineage: Eukaryota; Metazoa; Chordata; Mammalia; Rodentia; Muridae.